Molecule: ribosomal RNA, 253 nt
Filed under: uncultured bacterium
Lineage: Bacteria
Description: partial 16S ribosomal RNA
Rfam family: Bacterial small subunit ribosomal RNA
Source: RNAcentral
GACAGAGGGUGCAACCGUUGUUCGGAAUUACGGGGCGUAAAGCGCGUGUAGGCGGCUCUGCAAGUCAGGUGUGAAAUCCCACGGCUCAACCAUGGAAGUGCACUUGAAACUGCAGGGCUAGAGUCCUGGAGAGGAAGGUGGAAUGCUUGGUGUAGAGGUGAAAUUCGUAGAUAUCAAGCGGAACACCGGUGGCGAAGGCGGCCUUCUGGACAGUGACUGACGCUGAGACGCGAAAGCGUGGGGAGCAAACAGG